Molecule: ribosomal RNA, 2893 nt
Filed under: Escherichia albertii
Lineage: Bacteria; Pseudomonadati; Pseudomonadota; Gammaproteobacteria; Enterobacterales; Enterobacteriaceae
Description: bacterial LSU rRNA
Rfam family: Bacterial large subunit ribosomal RNA
Source: RNAcentral
ACUAAGCGUACACGGUGGAUGCCCUGGCAGUCAGAGGCGAUGAAGGACGUGCUAAUCUGCGAAAAGCGUCGGUAAGGUGAUAUGAACCGUUAUAACCGGCGAUGUCCGAAUGGGGAAACCCAGUGUGUUUCGACACACUAUCAUUAACUGAAUCCAUAGGUUAAUGAGGCGAACCGGGGGAACUGAAACAUCUAAGUACCCCGAGGAAAAGAAAUCAACCGAGAUUCCCCCAGUAGCGGCGAGCGAACGGGGAGGAGCCCAGAGCCUGAAUCAGUGUGUGUGUUAGUGGAAGCGUCUGGAAAGGCGUGCGAUACAGGGUGACAGCCCCGUACACAAAAAUGCACAUGCUGUGAGCUCGAUGAGUAGGGCGGGACACGUGGUAUCCUGUCUGAAUAUGGGGGGACCAUCCUCCAAGGCUAAAUACUCCUGACUGACCGAUAGUGAACCAGUACCGUGAGGGAAAGGCGAAAAGAACCCCGGCGAGGGGAGUGAAAAAGAACCUGAAACCGUGUACGUACAAGCAGUGGGAGCCCUGAUUUAUCAGGGUGACUGCGUACCUUUUGUAUAAUGGGUCAGCGACUUAUAUUCUGUAGCAAGGUUAACCGAAUAGGGGAGCCGGAGGGAAACCGAGUCUUAACUGGGCGUUAAGUUGCAGGGUAUAGACCCGAAACCCGGUGAUCUAGCCAUGGGCAGGUUGAAGGUUGGGUAACACUAACUGGAGGACCGAACCGACUAAUGUUGAAAAAUUAGCGGAUGACUUGUGGCUGGGGGUGAAAGGCCAAUCAAACCGGGAGAUAGCUGGUUCUCCCCGAAAGCUAUUUAGGUAGCGCCUCGUGAAUUCAUCUCCGGGGGUAGAGCACUGUUUCGGCAAGGGGGUCAUCCCGACUUACCAACCCGAUGCAAACUGCGAAUACCGGAGAAUGUUAUCACGGGAGACACACGGCGGGUGCUAACGUCCGUCGUGAAGAGGGAAACAACCCAGACCGCCAGCUAAGGUCCCAAAGUCAUGGUUAAGUGGGAAACGAUGUGGGAAGGCCCAGACAGCCAGGAUGUUGGCUUAGAAGCAGCCAUCAUUUAAAGAAAGCGUAAUAGCUCACUGGUCGAGUCGGCCUGCGCGGAAGAUGUAACGGGGCUAAACCAUGCACCGAAGCUGCGGCAGCGACACUGUGUGUUGUUGGGUAGGGGAGCGUUCUGUAAGCCUGUGAAGGUGUGCUGUGAGGCAUGCUGGAGGUAUCAGAAGUGCGAAUGCUGACAUAAGUAACGAUAAAGCGGGUGAAAAGCCCGCUCGCCGGAAGACCAAGGGUUCCUGUCCAACGUUAAUCGGGGCAGGGUGAGUCGACCCCUAAGGCGAGGCCGAAAGGCGUAGUCGAUGGGAAACAGGUUAAUAUUCCUGUACUUGGUGUUACUGCGAAGGGGGGACGGAGAAGGCUAUGUUGGCCGGGCGACGGUUGUCCCGGUUUAAGCGUGUAGGCUGGUUUUCCAGGCAAAUCCGGAGAAUCAAGGCUGAGGCGUGAUGACGAGGCACUACGGUGCUGAAGCAACAAAUGCCCUGCUUCCAGGAAAAGCCUCUAAGCAUCAGGUAACAUCAAAUCGUACCCCAAACCGACACAGGUGGUCAGGUAGAGAAUACCAAGGCGCUUGAGAGAACUCGGGUGAAGGAACUAGGCAAAAUGGUGCCGUAACUUCGGGAGAAGGCACGCUGAUGGUAGGUGAAGCGACUUGCUCGUGGAGCUGAAAUCAGUCGAAGAUACCAGCUGGCUGCAACUGUUUAUUAAAAACACAGCACUGUGCAAACACGAAAGUGGACGUAUACGGUGUGACGCCUGCCCGGUGCCGGAAGGUUAAUUGAUGGGGUCAGCGCAAGCGAAGCUCUUGAUCGAAGCCCCGGUAAACGGCGGCCGUAACUAUAACGGUCCUAAGGUAGCGAAAUUCCUUGUCGGGUAAGUUCCGACCUGCACGAAUGGCGUAAUGAUGGCCAGGCUGUCUCCACCCGAGACUCAGUGAAAUUGAACUCGCUGUGAAGAUGCAGUGUACCCGCGGCAAGACGGAAAGACCCCGUGAACCUUUACUAUAGCUUGACACUGAACACUGGUCCUUGAUGUGUAGGAUAGGUGGGAGGCUUUGAAGUGUGGACGCCAGUCUGCAUGGAGCCGUCCUUGAAAUACCACCCUUUAAUGGCUGGUGUUCUAACGUGGGCCCGUAAUCCGGGUUGCGGACAGUGUCUGGUGGGUAGUUUGACUGGGGCGGUCUCCUCCUAAAGAGUAACGGAGGAGCACGAAGGUUGGCUAAUCCUGGUCGGACAUCAGGAGGUUAGUGCAAUGGCAUAAGCCAGCUUGACUGCGAGCGUGACGGCGCGAGCAGGUGCGAAAGCAGGUCAUAGUGAUCCGGUGGUUCUGAAUGGAAGGGCCAUCGCUCAACGGAUAAAAGGUACUCCGGGGAUAACAGGCUGAUACCGCCCAAGAGUUCAUAUCGACGGCGGUGUUUGGCACCUCGAUGUCGGCUCAUCACAUCCUGGGGCUGAAGUAGGUCCCAAGGGUAUGGCUGUUCGCCAUUUAAAGUGGUACGCGAGCUGGGUUUAGAACGUCGUGAGACAGUUCGGUCCCUAUCUGCCGUGGGCGCUGGAGAACUGAGGGGGGCUGCUCCUAGUACGAGAGGACCGGAGUGGACGCAUCACUGGUGUUCGGGUUGUCAUGCCAAUGGCACUGCCCGGUAGCUAAAUGCGGAAGAGAUAAGUGCUGAAAGCAUCUAAGCACGAAACUUGCCCCGAGAUGAGUUCUCCCUGAGACUUAGAGUCUCCUGAAGGAACGUUGAAGACGACGACGUUGAUAGGCCGGGUGUGUAAGCGCAGCGAUGCGUUGAGCUAACCGGUACUAAUGAACCGUGAGGCUUAACC